CGGGGUGCAGCAGGCGCGAAAACUUUACAAUGCGGGAAACCGUGAUAAGGGGACACCGAGUGUCAGCAUCAUAUGCUGGCUGUCCAGGUGUGUAAAAUACACCUGUUAGCAAGGGCCGGGCAAGACCGGUGCCAGCCGCCGCGGUAACACCGGCGGCCCGAGUGGUGAUCGUGAUUAUUGGGUCUAAAGGGUCCGUAGCCGGUUUGGUCAGUCCUCCGGGAAAUCUGAUAGCUCAACUAUUAGGCUAUCGGGGGAUACUACCAGACUUGGAACCGGGAGAGGUAAGAGGUACUACAGGGGUAGGAGUGAAAUCUUGUAAUCCCUGUGGGACCACCUGUGGCGAAGGCGUCUUACCAGAACGGGUUCGACGGUGAGGGACGAAAGCUGGGGGCACGAACCGGAUUAGAUACCCGGGUAGUCCCAGCCGUAAACGAUGCUCGCUAGGUGUCAGGCAUGGCGCGACCGUGUCUGGUGCCGCAGGGAAGCCGUGAAGCGAGCCACCUGGGAAGUACGGCCGCAAGGCUGAAACUUAAAGGAAUUGGCGGGGGAGCACAAGGGCGAUUCGCG
This 567-nucleotide ribosomal RNA is filed under the name uncultured archaeon. RNAcentral's name for it is "bacterial SSU rRNA". It matches the Rfam family "Archaeal small subunit ribosomal RNA", at positions 326 to 897 of the family's 1478-position model. The record is from RNAcentral.